RNAcentral lists this long non-coding RNA (42202 nucleotides) under Vitis vinifera (wine grape). RNAcentral describes it as "long non-coding RNA (VVIN_LNC005759)". The stretch from base 214 to 319 matches the Rfam family "5.8S ribosomal RNA". The record is from RNAcentral. Lineage: Eukaryota; Viridiplantae; Streptophyta; Magnoliopsida; Vitales; Vitaceae.
UCGCCCCUCCCCCCGUUCGGGAGGCCCCGGGAGCCCCGCCCGCCGUCGUGCCCCGCGCACGGGCGGGGGGCGGCCCGCGGCGGCCCUCUCGAGCGAACAACGAACCCCGGCGCGGAACGCGCCAAGGAACCUCACAACGAAGCAACGCGCUCCCGUCGCCCCGGUCCCGAUCGGGCGCGUCGGGGGGUCGUCGUCGUUUCACCAAACACAAACGACUCUCGGCAACGGAUAUCUAGGCUCUCGCAUCGAUGAAGAACGUAGCAAAAUGCGGUGGGGGGGGGGGGGGGAUUGAAGCUCUUGAAACAAAGUAAAGGAAUCAUAGCAGCAAUUUACAUAGUAAAGGAAAUUGGGGACUCAACCAUAAAAAGUUAAUCACAUCCCAAAUUGAAAUUCAAAAAUCAACAAAGCAUUUCAUCUCAAUUUAGAAUUCAUCAUAAGAGAAAAAGUAAAGGGCUACAUCCAACAUAAUCUAGUGUUCAAUGCUGUUGUGGAGUCUUGGAUUGAGAAUGGAUGGAGAUAUAUGAGUAAAACAAAAAUGGAGGGUAUUAAGAAUCCUUUUAGGGUACUUUUGAAAUUUUUAAAAUGUUUUUUUAAAGAAACAUCUAUCAAGUACAAGUAUUUUGACCCAAAAAAAAAACACAUUGAAGGUGAAAAGCACUUUCUAGGUUCACUGCCAACAGCUCCAAAUGAUUCUUUGAUGCAUCAUUGCUUCUAUUGUGAAUCACUCUCUAAAAAGAUAACCAAUUGCAAUAUGCCUGUUUUGAAAUUAUUUUUGGUAAUUAAAUGAAUAUAUAAUAAUAAUAAUAAUAAUAAUAAAACUACUUAAAAAACAACAUUUAAAUUUAAAAAGAAAAAAAAAUUACCUUCUUACGUUACGCACUCCUAACCUUACAAGACAACUCCCAAACCCAUUCUUCAUGCUUCAUCUAAAAUUACAGAAUAAUAGGGGCAAGUAAAUUUCUAAUUUCCGAUAACAUUUCAACUUACCCACUAGCAUUCCUUGUGACCCAUUUACAGAUGAAUCUUGCUUUAAAUAAACAAUAACUACCAAAAAAGAAUUAAAAUCAAAGUACAACGAAGGUUUUCGGAAAGCUCAGAAUUGUUUUACAUAUAAAGAGAAUGGGAAAAAGGGGUUCAAGGUUUCCAUAAUUUCAUGGUGCUGUCUUCACUAUAUGUAGCAACCAGAUUCCUGUGGGGAUGAUGGGUUACGCCGAUUACAUCCUUUUCAUGCACCUGCCAGUGAAAAAAGAGGUAAAAGGGGGAAAAUAAAUAAAUGAAACCACCAAUACAAACGCAGUCCUAAUACUCAUGCCAGUUUAUUGAGACACUGCUUGUGAAGAACUUUGCUGAUUCUUGUGAUGUCAGAUACACCCAACUAAUGGCAAUCUCAAGGUGGUAUUAGUAAUAAAUACUGGCUUAAGCUUCCACUACCUAAUAGCUUACCUUCAUUAGAUGCUCUAAUUUACCCGAUUGGUAGCUGAAGCAGUAGAUAUUCCUACAUAUGAUCAACAGUUCAGUUAGCUAAUAGUAGAACCGACACCUGCAGUAAAUCCAGCAGAGACAAGAACAGGCACAUGGGAAUCAUAUACUAAAGUGACAUUUCAACAAGAAAUGGAAAAUCUUGUUGCAGCAACAGAGCAGAAUACCAUUUCAGCGGUUCUUAAUUACUUUUAAGUUUAGGUUCAAAAAAAAUUGAAGUUACAUUUUUCUCAGCACCAGUUACAAAUUCUUUAGGUACUAAUCACCAUGAUGCUACAAGCACCUGGUUUCGGGUUGAAGGUUCAUUUUCUUCCAAGAAAAAACUUGGCUAACUCACAACUGAACUAGAAAGUUUUGCAAGUGAGGGAAAAACUAGAACUUGAUGAUCGUGCUGGGGCAAUCCAGUUUCCAAGUUUAGCAGAAACUCCCCUCAGGAAGGAAGGGUUCUCCUUGGCAACUGGAGCAAUUGUUGGAAGCUUCUAGGGCCUUGACAAACCAAAAAUUUCUGAAGAGGUUGCAGAGGGGAAAAAUCACUUCCUCCCGCUAAAGAGAAGAAGGUGUCUUCAACUAAUUGAAACUUUUGAUGUUGGCAAAUGGAGGGUCAUUCUUAUUCCAGAAGGAGAUGGAUCCAUUGGGUUGUCAUCAGCAUGAGUCAGUUAACUGAAAGUUCUGAUGAAACCCAAUCAAAAGGACCAAGGGAAGCCAGCAGUUAUGUAUAAAAGUAUAGAGGAUGGAUUGAACAAUGGUUCUCUAAAAGUUGAACCUAAAUUUUAAAGGUUGAGAUUGAAGAAGGCAUCUUUGGUAGUUAAGCAAGAAUGCCCUGAAUGCGCAGCAGCUGGAGUUGGAGAGUGAACAUGUGGACAAAAGCUAAAAGAUGGUAGGGACUCAAAGUAGUGUCUUGAUUACCUGAUCCUAAAAAUGUUUUUUCUUUGUGCAAAAACCACAACCCUUGGGUACUGUUACCCAGAAAGGAGUUUCUCACACGGCUCUGUUGUAAGGCUAAGUCCCCUGUCAAUUCAUAUCCAGGCACUGGACCUUUUGGUGGGGCAGGGGCCACUAUAAGUAUAAAUUGAUACUAUUUGUAUCAGAAAACCCAAAACUUUGCAAAACCAUCAGAGGCUAGAAUGAGAAGUAGGCUACAGGAGGUGCCUUGGAGGUCAUUGCAAUGCUUUAGAAGUUGUGUCUUUCCUCCUCUAGUUGAUCUUUUCAUUUGUGUAGCUUCAGCUACUGGUAAUUCUCAAGAAGUAAUCUUGAACAUUACCAUAUAAAGUAUUUUUUCAUCAAUUAAGUCAGGUUCUGAGUAAGUAUUUUUUUCAUCAAUUAAGUUUGAUUCUGAAUAAAGUCACAAGGCCCACAGAAUUGUGAGUAAUAUGAAAUAACACAAACCAAUGCAGCUACUCCCAAUGUUGGUUUGCAGUGAAGUUUGUAUUUUAAACCUUGUGUAUACUAAUACCAUGAAAAUUUAAAAUCAUAUAAGAACUAAAAGCACAGGAAGAACCAAUUAAACAAAGAUAAAGUCAUCAAGCAAACCCAUUUUUAGGUUAUUAAACCCCCACCUUAUUAGAAGUGCUAUUGGAAAGAAGAAGAAAACAGCAAAAGCAAAGACCAGGAAAAAGUGAAGAGAGAGAAGAGAAAGGUAAAUAGAACUGUUCUAUUCAAAGAAGCAAGGCACAAAAAAUUCAGAUAGAAACAAGCCUAAAAUGGGUAUCCUUUUACGUGGAUGUGUAUUGCAAAAGGAGAACUAUGAAUAGCAGAAUUGGUUAUCGCAUGAGGUCAUAUACUCAUUUUUUUUUUUUUUUUUUUGAUAGGCAAGGUCAUAUACUCUUGUUAAUAAAUUUUAUAUGUGAUUAAAUGAUAGGAUUACUAUAAAGGCAAUUUCAGAUAAAAUAACUGAGGGUGAAACUGAUGAUGACAGCUCUGAGGGGAUAUAUUUAUAAGGCAAGCCCAUGGAAAUGACUAACUAAAAUUAUUAAUGCAAACACUAAUAAAUUUAGUAAUAAGAUAGUUUAAGGAUCAAAAGUUUGCCAGGUGGCACAUUGCCGCCAUAAACUGCCUACUUGAGAAUUGUUUAAAAAUUAUAUAUCCAAAACCAAUAAAACUAGAGCAUAGUUGUCUAAUGAUCUCAAACCUUUUUAAAAACUAUCACCAAAAACCAGCUUCAAAAGUGAAUGAGAAAAAGAGAAAUAAGAAAAAUAGCUAUAUAGUCAUUACUUAUUUAUUGCAAACAAGUAAAGAACUAGAUUUACUUAAUGGAAAUAGAUAAAAAGUAUGACAUUAAGAGCACAGCACUUCAUUUAAGCAAAUACCUGUCUUCACCAACACAAUAAAUCCAUUCUCCUUUGGGUGAGACACAGGCUGCAACAAAAUCUCCACCUUCUCUUUUACCAGAAGAGAAGCUCUUCACAACCUGCAUCACAAACAUUUUUUUUUUUUUUGAUAAGUAACCUGCAUCACAAACAUUUAGAAAUCACAACCAUUCUGAUCGUAGUUCCCCUUGGUUACGCACCUAUACACCUAACUAAAGCUUGCUUUGCUAACUGCUUACAUGUAAAACAAUAAUGAUUGGCUCAUGUUAUAUGCAUCCACAGAUCAUCUUUAUUAAUUAAAGGACGAUCAUCUGCAAAUCAUCAUAAAUGGAUGGGAUAAACCUAAAGAUCUUUACCGCCCACUGAUAGAUCACCAAUUUAGGGACUAUUACAACUCAUAAUCUGUAUAAAAAUUGGGUCAAUCCUGUAUUCAAUACUGUAUUGGCAGAGAACAAGGGAUUGCCAGUUUAGGUCCUCCAUUGCAACCCCUAAACAAUACUCCUACACAAAACCCUAGAGAUUACAAACGGAACCAGUGAUUAUUUGAUUGAUGUUCAGUCAGCUGUAUGACAUAUAAGCAAGAUUUCAUGUUAAAAAGGAUGUACAUAUAAAGUACAAGAUUUCAAUAAGGAUAGAAUUGUUUGAUUAAAGAAAGAUAUUGAACAUUUAAAAGCAACAAACACACGUGUGCCCAGACCCGUAUAGCAACUUGCUUACAGAAAGCAUGCAAGGAGCACUAAAUAACAAAAAAGAAAGAAAAAGAAAUACCAUGGGCAGUAGGAAGGCCUUAACCAAUCCCUAAUCUAUAGCUUCCUUCUCUAGAACCAAAUAAACAAAAAAGAAAGUAAAAAACAAAAACAAUACAAAAAAUCAAUCAAAACUGUAGCACUAAGAAGGCACGAAAAGAAAGAAAAAGGGUAAAACAAAAAAAAUGAAACAAAACAAAGAAAAACAAAGAACAGAAACAAACAAACCACACACAGUAAGAAGGCCUUGACCAAUCCCCAACUUUAGCUUGCUUACCCUCCUAUGGAUCCUAUAGCUAUGAAGAGAUUUGAGGAAAGAAAUUUAUGCCCUUCCUGUCCAAUGAGCUGCACAUCCCUCCACCAGGCCCUCACCAUGUCCUCUAACUUAGGAUGACAAAGCGAUAUGUUGUCUAAACAGAUGGGAACAAGGUCCUACUUAAUUGAAUUGCAGUCACGAAAAUAGAAAAUGGUUUGACAAAGGUUUAGGCAACAUCUGAAUUCUUGGAUCAUGUUGGAGAAUUCAGAUUCCCAUUUAUAGGAAAACAUGAAUCUAUCAAGUCUCUUAAAAGGGGCUCUGCUGCAAGUUACCCCAAGUAAGGGAUGUUUUUAAGGGCUGGAUCCACCAGCUCGCACUCCCUAAUUAAGUGGGAGAAAAAAAAAAACUCUCCCACUCAAAGUGGUACCAGCCUAUGACCUUCUGGUUAUUAAAAUGCAAUCCUGACAACAAUAAAGUUUCUACUCCCCUUAGCAACACCCAAUGGAUCCCAACUAAAAAAUUGUCUUUCAGCUCGGCUAGAAUCCCUUUCACAGGCUUAAGCUAUUCAACUAUACCAUUGAAAUUCAAAGUCCUCCCCACUAUCCACAUGAAACCUAAAGGAUCAUUCCACCACUGCACAAGCCUUCAACAGUACAGUGUCCCAAACUUGAACCUCUUCAUCCUGCUCUCCCACCAGCCCCGUAAAACAGAAAAUGGCUCAUCUGUAUUCCUAGCAUCCAGGAUACCCUCAUAAUUCCCCUAGAAAACAGCUCCAAUCUUAGGUUCUUGAAUCAAGAAAACAUUUGGGACUUGCAAGAAAAUCAUAGAUAGCUCUCCUCUUAUUGCUAGAACCAACCCUCAAAUACUCCAGCUGAUCAUCUUCAUCGAAACCACAUCAAUGAUUAGAUAGAGGACAGUGAUUAGAGAGAGCAAAAUGGUGAAGAAAGAAUUAUGUAGCCAACCCUAAGCCUCCUACUGUAGGAGAACUUCAAGAAAGUCACAGUAAGUCAUGCAAAAAUUCACAACUCUUACACAUGCACUUUAAUUCACAAAUCACAAUGUGAAGUUUCAGUUCUAUGAUGGUCUGCAAUGUUUAACAAUGAGAAAAGAGCCCUCAUCAGUUGGUUAUUUCCUAUUGUCUAUACAACAGACUAAAAUAACAAAUAGUGUGCUAUCUCACCCUAGUUUCCACAAAGAAAAAGAAUAAGUACCUGUCCUUGAAGUGUCAUAAGGUAUAUUGAUGAUGUCCUGUUACACACAAUAAUAUGGUCUGUAUUUUUGGGGAAAAGAUGAACGCCAUUUACAGAUGCGUCACCUCCCUAACAGUUCAAAAAGAAAAAGGUAGUAAUUAGUCAAGAAAUAAAUUAAAGCAGACCAGAUAUGCAAAGGAAUCCAAAUUAGUUAUAUUGCUCAAACCAAAGAGAGAUGCACUUUUUAAAUAAAAGAAGUACCCUUAAAUCCAUCAAAAAUAAAAAAUAAAAGAAGUACCCUUAAAGGAGGUGGUGGCUUAAAUGUCUGCAAACAGUCGGUUGUCUUCACAUCCCAGACCUAUAAUAAGGCAUAUGCAACCUGUUAUGGGCACAGGAGAAUGAAAUAGCCUAACCUAGUCUGUUGUCUUCACAUCCCAGGACAAGAUAAAUUUACCUUUACUGUGCAAUCACUGGAGGCAGUAACAACACGACCUCCGUCAUUUGUAAAUAUAGCAUCAUUCACAUAAGAUGAAUGGCCACGGAAUUCCUUUAACAGUUUCCCAGACUUCAGUCCAUGGAUUCUAAAUCAAACAUAGCAUAAGGUAAGUAACAUUUGAACAACCAAGGGGUCCUCUCCUAUUUCAUAAUCAAUAACAUCAAAAUUGAUAAAACUGCCUCACACCAUAGAAGCUCCACAAGAAAACCCCGACAAGAACUUUAUGUAAACCACAUGAGAAAAGGAACUAGACCAAAAUAUGAAUGAGACAAAUGCCAAAAUGUUGGCAUGUCAGAAUCACUACUCAACAAGUAAUUUUGACACACCACAUUAAGAAACACAAUGCAAAAGGAAAUUCCAUUAAUCAAAUAAAACCUUGCAGUGCUGUCAAAGGAUGCACUUAGUAUCUGACUUCCAUCUCGAGAGAAAACAAGACUUGUAACACCUUGGGAAUGUGCACGUUCAAGUCGGCGUAAGCAUUGACCAGUCCUUAUACGCCACACCUGAUACAUAUAGUUUGCAAAUAAAUCAUCUUCAAUUUUGAUGUCAAACUUCCAAUUUUGAAGCAAUACUCCAAUGUUUCACCAACAGUAUAAUGAAAGAGAAAAGUUGAUGCAAAUUAGAAGGAUGCAUAACACAAAAACAUUUACAAGGUUCAAGCCAAUGACAGGAAUCAGAUAAUAAAAACAAAAUUUGAAUGCAAGACCAAAUUUCUUAAAAUAGAAAGGCAUCAAAUAAAACAAAAAGGAAUAGAAAUAAUUGACCUCAUGUAACACUUUCCAUCCCUCCCUUUCAUGCUUUUAGCUAAAAUCCACCCAGCUGAAUUCCAUAUCUAAUUGGAAUGCAGGGAUAAUUCGGAAUCAGUUGAAAUUUUGGGUAACAUCAUUGCAAUAGCUGUUUAAUUGAGAAAUAUUGCAGUAUUGAUUAUAUUUCCCUUCAUUUUUUGUCAAAAUAACAUGGAGGCAGCAUUUUAUUGAAAACUCCUGAAUGCAUAAAAUGUUAGCCAAAUGCUUAUGUUAUACUUUAUGUAGCAUGGAAAAGAACAACAUCACAGAUAAAGAAAGCAAAGUCUGGAGAAGCAGGAUGAAGGCAACAUCAAAACUUAUUUUAAAAUUCAAGACUCAUCCAACAAGUCUCUGGUACCUGUCCAAGCACAUCGGAGAAGUGUUGCCAAACAGAGUACCAUCUCCAAAGUACACAUCUGUUUGGAACCAUCCAAUCCCUCAAAUGCUAUACAAUCGAAACUCAGAUUUUUUUUUUCCAUGAUAGAUUUUUUGUUUUUUUUUUUCUUUUGUUGCUGUUACCUGGAGGUAAAACUGGAAGCUCCCCCAUCCCCAUUCAACCCCUUGCCACUUGAGCCAAUCCCAAGGUCUGUGAUCAAUUUUCAGAAUCUUAUCAUUCAUCAGAUUCCAGAUACUGCUUUUACAAGAAAAUUAUAGAAGUUUUUCCCUUCUGUAGUUCAAAUGGCAAUAGUUUGGUGGGUACAUGGUCAUUCCAUCAAUACCACCUUCCAUCAAUUUGCCAUCACAACUUACAUUCUCCAUGCCGUGACUUCAUUAGUGGAUGGAACCUUUCAUUUUGGCUCACUAUAUAAAAGAACUGUAAGCCUUUCCUCUUUGCAUAGAUAUGUGCAUCAUCACCACUCAUCUAAAGAUCCUUUUAUACAUUUUCUUAAUGAGAUUCUAAACCAUAUACAAUGAGGACACAGAACAGGAUUUUGUUUGCAGCAAGGUUCUGAGGUGUCUGACACAGCAAAAGAAUACAAGGGGUGAAAAUAACAAUUACCUUGCUACAAAACUUCCUAAGAAACAUUUUGAUAAGUUCAAAUAAAAUAGAAUAUAGAGGGAGAUUGUAAAAGUUACAGCAUAUGAUUUAUUAAAAAUCCACCAUGGCAAGACACCCAAAAAUAGAAGAUAUGGAAUUAAAGGAACAAAUAGAAAUUUAACUUCAAACCAAUGUAUGAACAAUUAACAAUACUUUGAUUUUUCCAUCUUGUGAUCCAGAUGCAAGCAUCUCCGAAUCUCUGCUAAAAUCAACACAAAGGACAGCAUCAUCAUGCAUCAUAAAGGUUUCCUGUAAAAGUUCAUAGCAUGUCAGCAAAUUCAUAGGAGGCCUCUGCCAAAAAGAUAAAUUGCUAAAAGUUUCUUUGUGCUUUGUAGGAACCAAAAAUAGGAAAUAAUAUUCAUUACUGUGUCUUCCUCCAAUUAUUCUUGUCCUUGUAUUACCAUAAAUUUAAUCAGUUAUGUUUAGUAUGCCAGGCAGCCACCCACAAAUAUGUGGCAUUUAAACUAUUUUUCGAAGAAAACAAGCACUUGAGUAUUGAAAGAGCAAGUGUAAUCAACAAACAUCCCAUUGGCCAAAGACCAGACAGCAUUAUGUCUAUGUCAUUCUAUCUUUAAGCAUCUCAUUAGUGGUGACCUUCAUGAUCAUUAACUGAAGAGGAUAUUUCAGUCGUGAGGAAAGGAAUGUCAUUUUUCAAUGUAGGAAGAUUUGAAAGAAGGAUUAAGAAGUGCACAUGCCACUCCUACACAAGGACCAAGAUCACUCCCAGAAUAGAAUCAGUUAAGUAAAACUCAUCCUAAAGAAGGAGCAAAGAAGCCAAUUAACCAGUAUCCUGAUCAUUUUAAAGUUAUGAAGAAACCAAAACCAAAUAGAAGUGAUUAAAAUGACUCCAAAAAGUAGCCACAGGACUUGAGAUUCCGUAUAGACAAGGCAAAACAACUGGAAAAGAUUGAUCCACAACAAAAGAUCUUCCGGGAAGCAACUCUGAAGGUUUCUACUACUGGUAAUUGGGGUUCAAGUAGGAACCACCCUGAGGACAACAUCAAAGUUAACCUUGAUAGGUAGUCUUAGGAAAGCCACAAGAACUGGGUGUAGAAGGCAUUUGAGGACAUAGUAUUGAAAACUUUUUCUUGCACGACUUGUACAUUGAGAAAAUGCAAGAAAAAUAGGAGCUAUUCAAAUUGCUCCAAAAUGAUAGAUAAGUUACAAAUAUCGAUAAGAAUGUAUAACAAGUACAUUAAACAAUUAUUCUGCAGAGUUGCAUCGAAUGAGUUAAGAAUAACAAAAAGUAACAUUUAAGAAAUGGCUCCUAUCAUUGUAAAGAAGUUUCAUCACCAUAUGCAUCCAAGCACCUAUAUUAGAAUAUGGUAAUUAGUUUAAGGAAAAACCACUCACAUCAGCCUGAUACUGAAGAUCCUUCUUAAGUUUCCCACUUAUAUGGUCCCAAACCUGAAAGCACUCUAGAAGUCAGAGAGCAUCUGAGUUUCAUCAAAAAAUAAAUAAAUAAAUAACUAUAAAGAGAACGUUUUUUUUUUACGUUUUUUUUUUUUUUUUGAUAAGUAAAGUUUUUUAAUUUAUAUACCUCAAUAAAUCCAUCCACGGAGCAAGACACAAGAAACUGCCCAUCUGGAGAAAACCGAGCAUAUUCUGCAUGACUUUUUGUUCCAAACUGCAGUGUAACACCAGCACAACACAUGAGAUGAAAAGCAAAACAACUGAAGAACCCAAUAGCAUAAAGGAAAAACUAAACACCAACCAAAUAAUAGCUCAGAAGUUUCUUCAGAAACAUAUAAAUAAGAAUAAGAACUCAAAUGAAAAACUGCUGUGAUUUCCUUCUCCAACACUUCUACAAUUUCGAUGCUUUAAUUCCAUAAUACAGACAAAAUUUCAUCAAAAAUUAAUAUCACCCCAAGGUGUAAACAUUAUCUUUGGCAAUAAGUGAAGAACAAAAGUAUAUUCAAGGGUGAUAUGACAAUUCUGGCACACGAUGCAUCAAAAUGUAGCCACCCACAUACAAUUAAUAGAACACCAAGACAUGAUUCUUAUUUGGACCAUAAAUGUUGCUACAAGAAAAAAAAACAUGAAUCACUUUUUUUUUUUGAUAAGUAAGCACAGAAUUCAUUCAAAGAAGGCAAAAAAGCCCCAAAGUAUACAUGGCAGCUAAGGCCUUACAAGCAAAAAAGACCAAAAACUCACCACCCCUUAACUGGAGGCUAACCACUCCAGGAAUCCUAUAAGGGAAUGCGGCUCCUCACCCCUAUACAAUUUAGCCCAACCCCAAAUGUUACAUACAAACAUUUGAAAAGCUUUACAAAGAUUUUGAUAUGAAAAUGUCUGAUUAUUGUUCUGGAACAGGUUCUAAGUAGUUUAAGACCAACCAAGGACAUUAGACACAACUAUUUUAUGAUGGAAAGGUAAAACAUUACUACAACAGUUAUAAGCACUAUCAUCUAAGGAAACAUCUAAAACAACAAAUCAAGAAUCCAAUAGGCUGGCCAAGAGGAGCCAUUCCUUUUGUUGACUUUGUUGAGGAUCUUUGUGCCUCCUUGAGUUGAGUGUGGGGUUCAGGCCGAAGAUCUUCCCCUUUCUAAUCUUGUGUCUAUAUAUAUCUUUCUUUCCAAAGGACCUCCUAUCCUUCUUGUUAUCAUCUAUUAUUUAGUACAAUUACAGGUAUAAUUUUUCAUCUGAAUCAAUAAAUAACAAGAUAAAGAAAAUUUAAACACCAAUGGUCACUUCUGGCCAUUUGUUAGGCUAAGAGCAUAAAAGGAUAAGAACAUUGUCUGGGAGAUGAAACUUUAGUUUUCAUUUUUCUUUUUUCUUUCAAUAGGAAACAAUGCAUAUUGGGUUGCGCUCCCUCUUCCAUUCAGGCACUGUCCUAUAAAAUUCCAUUUGCUUGUCAAAAGAAAAAGGAAAAACACAAAACGAAAAAGAAAAGGCAAAACAUAAACUAAACAAAACAAAGAGAUGCACAAGUGAACCAGUUCCCCAGAUCUUAUUAUUAAAAAAUUUUCAGCACCCAAGAUCAGUAAUGCAACAACAGAUUCCAGAAAUAAAUAAAUAAAUAUUUUAUCUGGAAAAUGUGAAACAAAACAAACUACUGCAACCCUCCUGGCCUGAAAAAACUAAACAUUACCAGGACCAAGAAAGAUAUAUUACACCUUACCUUGAUGGUGUGCCCGAGAGUUGUUGGAUACAUAUCAUCUACAUCUUGUUUCAUAGCAGCUGUUCCUCGGAACAAGUCAAACUGUGUUCCUGGUGGAAGUAACCCUGAAAGAACAAAAGAAAAAUCUGUCAGGUGAAAAAGAAAACAACAACAAUGAAAGAAAAAUGUUUCAAAAGAUAUAAUCAAUACCAUAAGAGUGCCUAAGCAUCAAUUAAACAAUUGAUUUUCCAAGGCAUGAAAAGGCGGGCAAAGGUUAUGCAAUGAUAACAAUUUUUUAUUUGCCCAUCUAUUUCCAAUAAUAUGCAUUUCAGAAAAUAGAAAAUAUAUUUAAUGCAACUCCAGUUCUUGUACUCAACGAAGGAAACAAGAACUCAAGUGUAUUACAAAACAAAUAAAUAUAUAAGAUUUUGAAAGCACUUUAAGUAAACAAGUCACAUUCACAGCAUAAUGCAACAUUACAAUAAAAUGUUAACCUUGAUGUUGCUGCCACUUCAGAGCCUGACCAAUGAGAGCCAUUAAUCGUGAUGGAGGAACUACAGAAACUUCAGCAGCGAGGGCUGACAAAUGAAAGAGAGGAAAAAUCAUAAAGAAAAUAAAAGACAUGAAGUAUAACUACAAAUAUUAAAGAAAUCACAGUAUACAAUUAUAAAUGCAUUAUGCGUUGAUCAAUCCCAUUGCUCCCUGUAUAUUUAAGUGAGAUCCACAGGCCUUAUUGUGACUUCAAACCAACUGAUUUUUAGUGACAAUACCAACCAUUCUUUGAACACUUCAGACAAGAUAAGAAAGGAAUGACACACUACAUCACUAAGCCAAUACACCAGAGUUUAAAUAACAACUGCUGAAUCAGAGUGCCAAGGCUUGAUUUAAUAACAUGAGAAGAGGGCAGACCAUGCCAUCUGAAGGAGAAAGCUAGGGAAAUUUCAGUAAACACAUUAUUGAGAUUUUAAACUUGCUUUACGUCAUAAAUUUACUGAUGACCCAAAACAGGAUUAGUUACAUCCUUCUUAUUUCCAUAUCCAGCAUUGUGAACAUUUGAUAUUUAUGUGGUGCCAUGGUGAGCAUAAAGGUGAUCAAAUCAUUAGAUCACAUCAAUAACUUCUGCACCACUGGGAUAAACAUGGUAAAAUAAAUGUGAUCAGCCUAUUGUUUAUAUUAUAAUGAAAAACAUAUAAGCUAAAAGAAUUUGUCUAAAUUUUUCUAACAAAAGUUAUACAACUUGGAUGAAGAAGGUCAACAACAUAAUAUGUACUUUAGCUACAAAAUUUAUCUAAAUUUCACUACACUCUUAAAGAAGAUUAUUUACUCAGAAGCAGUAAUAUUUUUCAGAAGUAGAGAAGUUGAUUCUUAUAAGAGCACCUAGUGUGGUUUGUUGGCCUACUCUUAUCUCCCCUUUAUUUCCAUUGCUUUAUUGCUGAGAAGUUAGAGGAGUUACGAAGAAGUUUCCUUAAGGGAAAAUGGGAAGGGAAUUUAGACAGGCCUGAGUUAGUUGAGACAAGGUUUGGGAACCAAAGAAGAAGCAAGAGUUUAUGUCUAUGAGAGGUUCAAGGUUGGGUGUCAUCAAUAAAGUCUUCCAUUGAGAGCUUUGGAGAUUUGUAGAGGAGCUAAAGUCUGUGCAAAAAGUGGAGGCAAAAUAUGGAGAUGGAGAGUAAACUUGGAAGAUUAGGUUUGUAGAUAGUGUUUUCAGGGAAGAAGUAGGAAAGGAGUCAGAGAGCUUUCAAAGAGGGCAGACUGCAGAGCUUCAACAUUGAGCUUAAAGAGUCUCUCCUUGAGUCUUGGUUUCUGUUGUCUAUGGAUUCUUGAGGAGGAAGGAGUUUGUUACCUUAUGAUUUUGUUAGAUCAGGAGGUGUGGGAUGAGAUCAUUGUCUAGUGUUAGUUUGCUAAAUGAGGAAUCUACAAUGUAUACUACAAUAGAUAUUCAUAUGGUGUCCUUAUUGAACUAAAAGUUGUGGUUGAACUAGGAGUCUAUAAUAUGCAUGCACAAUGUCAUAGUCUUUGUUUUUUUAUAGGCAAACAGAAAAUAUAUUAAGCAGCAUCUAACAAUAAAGAGGCGCAGCCUAAGCACACAGGAUAACAUUAUAGUUAAUUAGACUAUUGAUUCAAUUAACACAACUAAUAUUGUUUAAUUUUAGAAUUUAUCUUGUGGAUUCUAUUCAAAGAAGAUGAUGGUAAUCUUUCCGGGUUUCUAGCAUGAAAUCUGAAUUAAAAAAUGGUUCAAUAGUGUGACUUUUCCCUUUAAGAGUCUCAGAAAAAUCUUGAAGUAGACUAUUAACAAAGUUAAAAUUCAAGUCAUAGGUUCAUUGCACAUAGAGUGGAUCUUUUGUUUUUUUAAGUUUUAAAAACAAAGAGGAAUAUCAUGCCUACAAUAACACAUAUCGCAGCCUUUUGUAGGGAACAUCGUGACUUUUUCCUUCAUUCAUAGGCUGUUAACUACACAUAUAAUUUCUAUUUGAGGCCUAUCAAAAUAAAAAAUAAAUAAAAAUUAAAAAGGAAAACAGAAAAAGAGAACAAAAAGGAAUUGAAAGGAAUGAAUAAAAACAAAGAAGAAAAUAAACACUAAUAAAAAGAGAGAAUAAAAACAGGUGCAGACUUCAGGGAUGAGGUGUUACAAGCAAGCAACAGUCCUACAGAUCUAAACAGAACAAAGUCCCUUUAACUUGAUUUUCUUUAAAUCUCUAGGAUUAAAGGAAGUAUAUCCAUCAUCACCAUCUGUUAUUCCUCAGCAGGGUAUACUUUUUCAUUGUCAUCAUCCAAUUCACUUUAGUUUUUGUAAUAUACAGUACCUUUCAUGGUCCAUGUCAAUAUUAUAAUACUUUAACUUCCUGGGGAGAUAACUUCAUUUUCAAUAGGAAAGACAUGAACCCAAAUUUUAACCAGCAACAUUCAUGCAUCAAUUAAAUGCAAUAGCAAUGUGAGAGGCAGAGGGGAAAACCUUGGGCAAUUUGAGCACGACGUUUCUCUUUUGUUGAAUCUUGAUAAGCCUGUCACAUGACACAGUGCACAGUUUUUUAGCACCAAGCACAAACUCAAUGAAGCAGAAACUAUAGCAUAGAUUUGAUAUGAUAAAAAAUAAUCAUCUCAACAAUAAUCAUUUUCAUCAAUUCUAAGGUUAACAAUGCUCUUACUGUGCAAUGGGGGUUCUGUACAGAAAAUAUAGAAGCCAAUGCAACCAACUUGCACAAGGAACCAUAAAAUUGAACAGUGGGCAGAUUCAGAAAUCUGAAAGAAAAUACAAAGGCAAUAAGAUCCUACAAGAGCAGUGAACAUAUACAAGCACAAAUUCCCUCCCUUGGAGUCAGGGGCAUGAUCUGACCAUGCAAGUGAAGUGCCAUGUUUAGUUCACCUCUAGUUUAAUGGCAUUAUGAAGAAAUAUACAGAAGUAAAAGGAAAUGCAACAUGAUGAUUUUUUUUUCUGUAGAUGAAAAGCCACAACCCAAAUGAAGAUUACUAAGUUAAACAAAGUAACCACCAAAGUGUAGCAUAAAUUUCUAUGCUACCGAAACUAUAUCCAUUACUACAUUUGCCAUGAAACCCGCUUUUAAUAGCCCAAUUUCUUUAUAAUAUUUUGACUAUUCAAACAAAUCUCACCAAGCCUAAUGGAUCCAAAAAAUCUGAGAGUCAGCUCAAUACUGAAAGAUAAAUACUUUCUAUUAAUAGGGCGAUGCUAUAGGGUUUUUUUUUUUUUUUUUUUCACUCUCUCUUGAUAGGUAAUAGGCAAUGCUACAGCAUCAUCUUAAGGUAUCAAUAAUUUGGGAUUUUUUUUAGCCAAAAACUAAAUAAAGUCCCUUUAUUUAGGGAACAAAACCUAGACAUAGAAUUCAGAUUGUAUUCAAGUUGGUGGUGAUUGAAGACUCAACUGGACAUCAAUAUAAUUAGGGAAGUUCAAAUUGAUCUGUUUAUUCCCAGAUCCAUAAAAUGAUCACAAUCACUCUCAUAUUUUGUCUGCGUCAGAGGAUCCAAGUUGUGAUUCAUAACCUCUACAUUGAAGGACACGGAAGAAAUAAGAUUGACCCUCUCUUCCAUUAGCCCUCUUCUCUUCAUAUGAGAAACUCUAGCAACUCAUCUAGAAGAAAGCCUUCAUCACACAAUGAUGAGACCUGAAAACUGAAUGAUUCAUCUUUAUUGCAAGUCCAACACCAAUUUCAUUACUCAAAAGUGUUCCAAACAAUUAUUAAUGUAUGCUUUUUCCUCCUCCAAACAAGAUGUAUUGGGCAUGGUCUCCUAUGCCAUUUACUCUUCCAAAUCCUUUGUUUGGUGCCCUCUCUACAAGCUAAAAGCAAAAUACUUUCCCUCAGAUUGUUAAAUCAGGAAGUCGAAGCAUUCACUUAGUAGGUAGGACAUAACAAGAUUAGUACUAAUGCUCUGUUCAAGAUUAGGAGGCUUUAUGAAGUCAUCAGCCACUGAUUAGUGUGUCCUGUGCAUGGAGAGCACAGAGUCAACUAACAAUAUUUUUCUCCACCAUAUUGCCCCAUUGCUCCAUUGCCUUGGGGUCAAUGGCAAAAGCAUUUUUUUGAGUGGCUUGUAUUACAUUGGUUGCCACAGAGAGUUUAUCAAAAAAAAACAUUGGUUGCCACAGAGAUAAAAUAUGUUGACUAUUUCCUGUCAGGUGUUAAGGAGGAACCUAAAGGAAGAAUGUUGAGGCAUGGGAACUUUUAACCACACUUUGGAUGAUUUGGCCUAGGAAGAACACCAGAAUCUUCAACAGAAAAGAGAACCAUUGACAACCCAAAGGGUAACAUCUAACACCUCAUUUCUCCUAAAAGGCUACCACUAAGGAAUUCUCUGGUGUUCUGGUUGCAUUGGAAAUCGAAUUGGCUUCCUCAUUGAAGAGGUGUGUAGUAAUCAGGGCUAUUUGGGCUUAGCUACCUUUUAGGUGCUGCACACUCAAUUUUGAUGGCUGUUCUCUAGGUCACCAUGUCAGAUGGAUUAGUCACUGGUUUGAGGACCAAGGGAUGGAUCAUUAAACCAUUCAAAAGGACUAUUAAUAAUGGGUCGGCUAAUGAGACAAAGAUUCUGCCUUAUUCGAAGACUUGAAAAGAACAACCACAGCAAGGGUCUUUAAACUUGUGCUAAAUGAGCAUUUGGCAACGUUAUACUCUGGCAUCACUAGGCAUAGAAGGUGCCCUGGUAUGGAUGAUAGCUGCAUUGUGGAUCUUCCAAGAGAAACCCAUUGAUCCUUCCUAGGAGCAGCUAACAAAAAGGUUGAGAGACUCACAAAUAGGGAGCUUAUUCCAUCAUCUUUGUUGGAGACUAUUUUCCUGAAUUUCUGCAAACUCUCCUUUGUCUUGGUUCUUCGUUUGAAGGGUAUUUUUAUACUAGGAGAUGUUGUACCGCCUAAAGAAGCCCCACCCUUCCAUGUCACUUUUCAAUUUUUAUUAGUAAUGUUUCUAUUUCCUAUAUGAAAAAAACGUGGCUACACAAAAGAACCCUAACUAGAUCAUUUUCCUCUCUCUCUCUCCCUCCCUCCCUCCCUCUCCCUUCUGUGUCACUUUUCAAUUUUUAUUAGUAAUGUUUCAAUUUUCUGUGUCCCUCCCUCUCCCUCCCUCCCUCCCUCCUCCCUCUCUCUCUCUCUCUCUCUCUAGGCAAACAAAAAUGUUAUUUACAGGAUCAAUCAGAAAAGGGUGCACCAAAGUACAUAGAACAUAUGCAAGAGUUGCCAAUCAGCGAUAAAAGGAGAAAGAAGCCAAAAAAAAGAAACAAAAUCACUCUCUCCCCAUUAUUUAGAACCGAUUAAUUAGAUCUAAAAUAGGGCAAUGUGAAUGCAAUAAGGUUAAAUUUAAAACUAGGAUAAAUUCCAGUCUCAGAAAACCACCCAGAGUCUCAAACUAGUCCAAGAUUAAAUAUAUUUACACUGCCAGAUUUGGUAAUGAACCAUAAUUGUACAAAUUAGAAGGUUUCUGAAGAGGCCGUGAACGUUCAAUAAUGAAUGAAACGGCGACUAUGCCAUUUCAAGAACAAAACCAGUCAACCAAAGAUUAUCAAAUGAUUUCAAGUACAGAAAUGAUUACCAUAUGUGGGAUAUUUUCUAAAAAGUUUAUAAUGCAUUGACUCGAUAACUACCAUCAAUGACAUCAAACAUACACAUCAUCCCACUGUAUUCAGAAACUCACUUAUGAAAAACAAUGGUAAAAUGGAAGAGUAGGUGUGAAGAAUGAUACAAUGUAUGAUUAAAACCAUCAUUCUAACCUCAUGUGGAUCAAAAUAAGUUCGAACAAGAAGAUGCUCAAGACGCAAGUAUCUUUCAGGCUGCUCUUGUUUCAUGACACCCAUUGCCUGAGUUUGUCUUAAAAUAGCACGUGCAGUAUCCAAUUCUCGCAGUUCAAUCAUUUCUAAAACAAUCUGCAAACAGAAAGACAACAAAACCUGAAAAAUGGAAAUAUCCAUGGAGGCAAAUGCAACAAUAGAGCAUCUAAAAUAUGAUAUUUGAUUCUGACUUGACAGUCCAAUAUUGAGGCCAAAACACAGACACAACACCAAGGGUCAAAACAAUCUAAAUUUUUAGCUGAGACGAAAUUGGCUUGACAAGCUUGAACAUAGAAUGAUAGUCAACUCAACCCAUCCUAGGACAGGAGCCAAGAGGGCCACUAGAUGAUAGUCAUAUCGUUCUCACAAGAUAUCGAUAGUGUGUGAGAUGGUAGUCAUUCUCCUCAUGAGAAAUCAAUAGUGCACACAUACAUGCAUGGAAGAGAGAGAGAGAGAGAGAGAGAGAGAGAGAGAGAGAACUACUUGAAACCAUUGUCAUAAAAGGAAAAGAGAAUUGGUCAUCAUUACCAUCCCAAUAAAAGUGAGAAAAGUAUUUGUUGAUGCUUAUAAUUAUUUUAUAAAUAAAAAAAUAAAAAAUAAAAAGAUCCAGAACUUCACAAUUUUUUUCCUUUCAAAUUGUAAAAUUGGAGCUUCUUUAUUGUUAUGCUCUGGAUGCACAUGACCUAGGGCGACCAGGAUACAUUCUCAAGAUUAACCUUUAUCAAGAAUCUCUCGGUUUCAAUGUCACCAGUAUGAGAUAAACCAAAGGAGAUGCCAUCGAUAAAUAAUGAUUGCACAACAAUCUCCUGCAGGUUCAAUACUAGCAGCUAACACCCCCAAGAACCCUCCCCCAAACAACCCACAACACCACAUGCUCCCCCACCCCACCCACCACAAAAAACCCCCUCCUUUCAUGUGUUAAGAUCCUCUGCCAAAUAGCUGCUCAUACAGAGAAAGCACAUAGUUUCUUCUCAGGGAAUUGAACCCUAAUCUCAACAAGCUUGUAGUAAGAUUUCAUUGCAAACCUUCCAUUUUUAGUCCUCUUCCAUAUCAUUUCAUCCUCACUUGCCCAAUCCACCUCCACUCUGUAAAUGUACUCCAAAGAGGAACCUUGGAUUCCAGCAGUUCCUUAUCUGUGCCCGCCUGACCAAUUUGUCAUCCUAGGAACUCUGUUAUAUGUUAUGCUGGAAAAUGUUUCCUUCAUAGUCCUCCACCAACAAUCCUAAUCUUCACCCUCUUUGCAUAUUCCCACUCUGUAACCUAUGAAUUUAGAGAAAUCUUCCCACCAACUCUUAAUUUGCUCCCAAAGGAACCCUACCUCUACCUCUUCAUGACUCCUGGCCACCACUGUCCUCCAUAAAUCCUCCAAAAAGUCAUCGAGCGAAUGAUUUUAUCAUGAAAAAAGAUGGCAAUAAAAAGAAAAUGAGAGGGUCAAUGAUUUGGUUGUAAUGGAGUACCAGCAAACAAAAAGUUGAAAUUAGAAAAACAACCACAAGACAAGCUUAAUCUUACAAAAAAAAGGGAAUAUUACACAAAAGAUUUGGUUGUAACAUGUUUGCACCCUGAACUACAAAAACAAACAAAAAGGCCUCUCAAAUUGUACAUGCAUAAAACUUCUUCCCCUCUUAUCAAUUUUCCAUUGAAAAACUAAUAUUUAAGCAUUUUUUUCAACUAUUUCGAUCCACUUUAGUGAUGAUUUUUCCCUUAUUUAAAAGAAGAAUGUUUUCAAAAGAUCAUGCUGAUGGGAGAAAGCCUUUUAAAGUUUAUUCAAGGAGGAAAGGGAAGACCUAAGUAAACUUUAAGUAGGAUUAAUAUUAAUUAGAAUUGAUUUAGGAUUGGUAUUUGUUGGAGUCUAAUUAAGAUUAGCUAGUUGAGUUAAGAAUUUGAGUCAUGAUAGGUUAUUAGAGUCCUAGUAGACUUUGAAUGUUAUAAUUAGAAUUAAAAUUAUAAUAGGUUAUUAGAAUCCUAGUAGACUUUGGAUUUCUUAAAGAAGUCUAUAAAUAGACUAAUCAAUGUAAAUCAAAGGGAUGAAUUUAUAUUAAUAAUAUUAUAUUUUCUUUCAUUGCAAGGUUGCAACCCUAAAUGGUGAGACUCCUAGAAGGCCUUAGUGAGACUCUAAGAUUCUCCAUCUUUUCUUCAUUGUUUCUUCUCUCCCUAUUUCUUAUCUUAUAAGUUUCUCUACCAUAAAAUUUAUUUGUUGUUCCUCUCCUUACACCCUAAAAAUAAAACCCUAGUCCACCUACCCUUGAGUGUAGGCAACCAUCCUAGGGUUGUCCUACAUCACAUGCCCAGCAACAUUGCAAUACCAAGGAGCAUUGCAAAGUUAAGAAAUUCAAAUUUGCCACUUGAUCCACUGAAAGCAACAGGAGACAGAAUUCACACACAAAUCAACUCCAUUAUGCAGGUAAAUGAUCAAAAUCGGAAGCACAAUUUCUGCAUUGAUUAAAAUUACCUAAACGAAAGAAAUGGCAAAAGAAGCCUCAUAUUUGAGAAUUGGUUUGAGAGAUUGAGAAAGAGGGUUAAAAAGUGUGGGUCCGAGAGCUUAAGAACAACUUUGUGAGAGCAAGAAGGAGCCAAUUUAAGAGAUUGAGAGAGAAAGUUGAUAAAGAGAGUAGAGGGAGUAGAGGGUUUAGAAUGAGUUUGAGAGAGAAAGAUUGGAUUGAAGAAAUUGAAAAAAAGAUAAUAUUGAGAAAUUGUAAAUUUGAUAGGUUUAGAAUAAGAUUUGGAGAUUGAGGAAGAGGAUUAUUAAUAAAAAAUGAAUAUGUAUAUGCAUAUACAUGUACAUAUACACAUAUCUUUGGAGCAUUAAGAAUAAGGAUUGAGAAAAAGAAUAAUGACUGGUAAUUUGAUAUUUUUGCUAAUUCCCUCAAAUAGCUCAAGAGGAUUUUUCUAUGUUUGAAUAGUUCAGGGGCCAAAGUGGACAACCCCACAAUGCAACAACCACCCAACUCCAUAGCUGAGGAUGAUUGGUGGACUACAUAAGCCUUAUAGCUGCAGUUGACGAUUUAACAAUGGAUUAGUAUUGUGCAAGGAUUAAAAUAUCGAAAAUCACAAAAAAAUUGGUCCUUGGAUUUUACAAAAAUAUCGGAAAUAUCGACAAAAACUUUGAAAAAUAUAUUGACAGGACUGGAAUUAAUCAAAACUUAUAGAAGUAUUAAAAAAUUUAAGAAAUAAUAAUAUACAUGUUAAAGUUGUUUUAAUGGGAAAAAAAUUACAUAAAUAUAUUUAAUAUAAAAAAAAAUGAUGAUGUACAUAAUUAUUUUUUUUGUUUAAAAAUGUUUUGACUUAUUUGUCAGUUUAUAUUUAUUUUUUUUUUUUGAUAGGCAAAAGCACAAAGAUAUAUUAGAGAAAGGGAGCUUGAAAGGCAACCCAGAGCAUACAGGGAGUAUACAAGAGACACCUAAAACAAGCAACAAAAACACAAGCACUCACCGACCCUCAACAAGAACCCAACCAACAGUCAGUUUAUAUUUAUAUAUCAUGUUUAAUUAUAAAAUUUCAUUAAGAAGGUUAUCGUAAUGUUUUUAUAUCAUCAAUAAUUAGUUAGAUAGAAUUUAAAAAUGAGAUAAUUAAAUUUAUUUGAAAUGAGAUAAUUAAAAUUAAUUAAUUUAUUAAGAAAAAUCUAUAUUUCUUUUUCUUUUCUUUGUUUUUUGGAAAGCUUUAGAAGACAUAAUUAGUAUAUAUUUAAUAUAUGUGAUAUAUUUUUAUUGAGGGCAGCCUGCCCUACUGGUGAGGGCCAGCUUUUGCAAGCACAAGGUCAUGGGUUCAAACCCCAGCCCUGUUUUUAAUUUUAAAUAUGGAAGGAGUGGUGCAGCGCAUGAGAGGAGUGUGCAAUGGUUCCACACAUGAGAGGAGUGCAGAGCGCCCAAAAACAGCAAUAAUGCCAAAAAAAUCAGAAAAACUCCAAAAUUCAGGAUAAAAAAUCCCAAAAUAUCAAUGAAAUUUGAUCCAACUGACUUUCCAUGGCCGAUUCCCCAUCAUUAGAGUUAAAAUGACAACUAUAUGCAUUCAAUAUUUCUCUUUAUGAUAAUACCAAAUUGUUCAAUGGUCAUUUCCAGGAAUUGUUCAAGGCUCACCAUACACCUAGACUCAUGGAGCUUAAGUGACUCAAUUAAGCCUUCUAACUCAAGAAUCAAAUACUGGCAUUAACUAUUCCUUCUUUUUCUUUUCUUUUUUUGGUAGCAUGUGGCCAUUGACUUCUUAAAAAAAUACUGGCAUUAAAAAUUUUGUUUCUGAUUAAUUUCUAAAAGAUUUUUUUUUUAAUUAAUUUCUGGAAGAUACAUUUUUUUUCUUGAAAUCAAGAUUCACAAAUGCUUUCCAAACAUGAUUUAUUUCCUCCUCCAAUCAAAUUUUCAAAUUAGUUUCUCAUUAUAGAGUAUCUCUAAAUCUAAUCUAAGACAAAGCUCAAGCAUACACACAAACACACAGAAUUAAAGAAUUUUAAGAGAAGAGAAUAUUAUUUCACCCUCCAAAUAUAUAUAUAUAUAUAUAUAUAUAUAUAUAUAUAUAUAUAUAUAUUUUAUAGACAAAAGCUUGUAUUAAGAUACGCCAAAAAAAAGGGGUGCACCCAACGUAUACAGGCAAUAUACACAAAAAACCAACCCAAGCAUCAGAAAAGAAAGAAAAGCCUAGAAAAGAGCAAGGCUAGCCACAAUAAAGAGCCUCCAAAAAAUUCAAAUAAGAAGGAAUUUCCAAAUCCAAAAACUGUUGGAACCACUCCACAAGGGAUCGGAUGAAAAGAUCCCUCAAACUUUGGUGUGAUAAUUCUUCAUCUUCAAAGGUCCUUUGGUUGCGAUCUCCCCAAAUACACCAAAAUAAACAAAUUGGAGCCAGUUGUCAAACUGCUCUUUUCUUCUUCCCUAGCCCCUUGAAUUUCCAUUCUAGGAGAAAAUUUCUCACUGAAACCGGGAACACCCAAACCAAACCAAAAGUUGUUAACAAUACUGUCCAAAGCUGUCUUGUCCUAUCACAAUGAAUCAAAAUAUGAUCAAUUGACUCUUCACUAUCUUUAUAAAGAUUACAUCUAUUAACCAUGGACCAUCCCCUCUUCAUCAAUGUGUUUACAGUUAAUAUCUUCCCCCAAACUGCUUCCCAAACAAAAAAACGAGUUCUAAGAGAAGCAUAAGAUCCCCAAAUCUCUUUAUCUGGGAAUAAUACAUUGUUCCCAGCCCUUAGAGAAUUAUAAUAAGACUUGACACUAUACUUUCCCCUCCCAUCAUAUAUGUCCAAAUAUAUAUACACACAGAAUUAAAGACUUUUAAGAAAAGAGGUUUGUGAGGCUCUAAUUCUAAGUCAAAAAUUUAGAGGAACAAAUUUCUUAAAAUUCUGCCAGGGAUCAGUUCUAAUAGACCCUUGGGGCUCACUUCCACCUGUAAGCCUAACCUAUUUUGACCUUCUAUUUCUUGUUUCCUUCAAUACACAUUUAAACAAAUUUAUCUGAAAUUUCAAAGUAUGUGAAGUAACUUUGUCAGACAUGAUACACCCAAGGAGUUAGGUAUGGAUUUUUGUCAUCCUAAUGUUCACGUGCUAUCAAAUCAUCUCUAACUUUCUCAAGUCACAAACUCUCCAACAUCUCCUAUUUUAGAGGCAUUGUCAUAUAGACUAUUGAAUUCCAUACCACAAACAUAAAAGGUCAUCAAACAAGCCAUCUAAAAACCCAUUUCAUUGUCCUGGACUCCUCUUUUUUCAACUCCAAACCAUUUUACCACAAAAAGGCAGAACCAUUUUACAAUUAAUUAAAUCUCAGCGGUUACAGUUAUGAAGAUCCCUCUUCUUGCAAUUAAGAAGAAAACUGAUGGAGGAGAACGAAAAAGGAGGAAGAAAAUUCUGAGUUGGGAUUGACUUAUAUCUCACUGAAACGGGCAAGAUCACCAACAGCUUUCUCAAUGUCUUUGUGUUUCCAGAUCCAUGAUAUCUUUGUUGAUAUGCAGAUCUUACAAUUUGCAAGAAAAUAUUAUAAAUAAAAGAGAUGGACCUAUAUACCAAAGUACACAAGACAUACCAAGGGUGUCAAAUGGCAUUGUCAUAAAAACGAGAAAAGCAAAUCACACUACUCCCUCUCUCAUCUAGAGCCCACCCAAAUCCACAUAAAAAAAAAAAUAAAGGCAUUGAGUCUUCUCCUAUGUACAAACACACCCACAACCUAAGUUGCACAAAAAUGUGUGUUUUAAGUGCUUGAAUUGUCUACUCUUUACUUUCAAACACCAUUUGAUUCCUCUCCUUCCAAAUCGCCAAAAAAAUGCAUAGGGGAGAGGCCCUCCAUACCAUCCAUUUCCUUCCCAUAAAAGAGCUAGGACAACUUAAGAGAGUUACCUUGACCGUAGAACAAAGGACUCAUGCAAUACCAAACAAAGAGAAUAUAAUUUACCAUAGAACCCUUACUCUGGCACGAUGAAAGAGAAUGUAAUCUAUUGAUUCCUUUUCACUUUUACAAAGAACACAUCUUUUCGCCAACAACCAUCCUCCCUUUUGAAGCCGAUCCUCAAUCAAUACUUUGCCCCAACUAGCUUCCCAAGCAAAAAAAGCCCAUUUUUUAAGAGAACCAUGAAUUCCAAAUGAUGGCCUCUAAAUAAGGAAUUGCAUGCCCCGACUCCAAGAUGGAAUAUAAAGAUAUGAUGGAGAAGACCCUAUUCCUGGAAUCCAUCCAUACCACUCUUAUCAUUCAAUUCCCUGCUCACUAGCAUCCCUUGAAGCCUCUAGAAAAAAGCAUUCACAUCAUCUAGCUCCCAAUCAUUUAAGUGUCUACAGAAACCCAAUGGCCUCCCUCACUCUAAUCCUCCCACACAUCCUCCACCCAAACCUCCUUUGAGGAAGCUAAAACAAACAAGGAGCAGAAAGCCAUAUAUGUGUAUAUCAUCAAGUACAAGUUAGUAAAGUUUUCAAAAACAAAAUUAUAUGGAAAAGAACCAUGAAAACUACGAAUGAAUCAUAAAGAAAGUAAUACGACAAUACGAACAAUCUUAUUUUUGUUAAAUAUGCACCAUCUACCUGCUCAUACAAAUCCUCCAGUUUCUUCCUGGGAAGCUUAAGUUGUGCUACUUGAGGCAAUAUUGCAUCCCACCUUCCACUAUUAAUAUCAGCAAUAAAUGUCUCGAGGCUGUCGACCGUAUUCAAAGAUACCUGACACUCACUUUGUAAUGUCUGAAACGUUUGGUGCAAGGAAUUUUCUUUACAAAACUGAAGCACGAUCUUAAUGACACUGAAAGAUGAAGAAAUACAUAAAAUUAGAUUUACUUCACAUCAAAACACUAUAAAGUAUUAGACAGCUGAAGAUAUAGGAAGAAUACAUAUAAACAACCAGCAUUUCACAUGACAAGUUUUAACCCGCUGUUUGGUUGCCGAGAACAUUUAGAAAAAGAGAAGAGACAAAAAUGCUGAAUUUUCAAAAUUUACAUAUCCGCACUGAAAUGGUAAGCAAAACAGCAAAAAAAAAUUAAAAUAAAAAUGAAAUUAAAAAUAAAACGAGCUCAAACUUCAUUUUCCAUUUUCCUUUUCCUGAGUUUUCUCGGCGUCCAAACAGAGGGUUUAACUGAAAUGAGCAAAGAUUAAAGAGAAUAGAGACGGUAGUAGAGGUAGAUGAAAGAGAAAACUUACUCUCGAGCUUCGAUUUCUAAGGUCGAUGACAUUGUCGCAAACAGUUGUAGCAGAGCGAUGAGAGAGAGAGCGAAAACUAGGGUUUAUGUUGAAAUUGGCGGGUCACGUGCGUGGAGCGUGAUAAUUUUCUCAUGGUUACUUUAUUUGUUUUCACUUCUAUUUUUUUAUUUUUGUUUUUGAAGUUAAGAGCUUUAAAAAAAAUAAUAUUAAAUAAUCCCUUUUUAUUUUUAUUUUCAAAAUUUGUCAAAUAUUUAAAAAUUAAAAAUAUAAAAGGUUAAUUUCUCAAAUGUAUUUAAGCGGGUUUUUUUAAUAUAAUAUUGAACAUCUUACUAUUAUGUUUGCUAUUCUAAAAAACAAGAAAAAAAUUAUAUUUAGUAUUAUUUUAAUAAAAAAUAAAAGUGAAUAAAUUAUAUUUGUUAACUUGAUUUUAAAUAAUAAUAAUAAUAUUAUUAUUAUUAUUUUAUUACUAGUUUAUAUAAAUAGUAGGGAGUUUAAACAUGAUUGGAGACUCGAACAAAUAAAAACCUAAAUUUAAUUAAAUUUUUAAAACAUAUUAAUAACUAUUGAUUUAAAAAUACUACGAAUUAAAAUCUAGUGAUAAGUUAUAUUUUAUAAAAUAUAAUAACUCGUAUAAGAAGUAUGAAUUUACUUUAUGUUGGUGUGUUGGUGCACAUGGAUGCCUUAUCUUGGUUAUUAGAGUUGGGCUUUGAAGUGGUAUGCUAAUUUGAAUGGUUACGUAUUGAACAAGAUGUAUGCAAAACAUGUCUAUUGUUAUUUGAGUGACAUGUGUUCUUCUAAUUACUAUCUUGUAAGAGUUUUUCACCUUGAGGGGUACUUAGGCUAAUGCAUGGGUUAGUGAUCACUUUAAGUCACAUAUGAGUAAGACCCACAUGGAGGUUAUAUAUUCUCGUGAUUUUCAAUGGUUGUUAACUCAACAUGUAGUUUGUGUAUACCCAAAAUAGACACCAUGAUAUCCUGCUAAGGAGACAAUAUAUCCCCUUUGAGUAAUUCUAAGAUACACAGUCAAGGUGAAUUCUUGGCUAGAGUAAUUUCAAUUGAUUAUUGAAAUUAUUGUUUUAUUCUUUUAGGAUAUGGUAACAUCAGUUUACUAUGACAAAGGUGAAUUUGCAACUUGAAGGUUAAAGAUAUAAUUUAUUAGUGGAUAGCAGAUACUAAUUAAAUCACAAGCAAAACAAACAAAUACAAGGAUUAGUAGGUCAUGGGACAACUAUUAUCUUUAGCAAUUAGAUGUGAUUAGUGGAGUGCGGCUAGUUAACUUCAAUUAAGUGAUAGAUUACUAUGAAAUUAUGUUUGAUUAAUUUUAUGAGAGUCGGAAUUAGAUGUUGCAUUAGUUCCCAAUCAAUCUACCUAUUGGGAAUCAUAUAACAAGUAUUUCAUGGGUGGCAUAGAACUCAUCUACCCCAUGCUCUUCCACCUGAUCUCUCCCUUCGUGAAUGUUUGGCAUAAGAAAAGAGUGGACUUCUCUUCCUUUCCUCUUGAUGGUGGUUAGAGUUUCCCUCUUUAGAAUUUUAAACAAACUGAACUGGAAGAUUGAAGCACUAACCCCUAAGGGGGUUUAUAUAUGCUUCCAUAUGGGCUUAAGUCAUAUAAUUCAGCCUACUUGUGCUAAAUUUAAUUAGUUAGCCUUAAUGGACUCCAAUUAAUUAAUUAUCUCAUUCCAAAAUUUCAAUUCAUAAGAUCUAGUACAACCUUACAUUUUUACCAAAAUACCCUUACGCAUACUUUUGUAUUACAUACCCAAAAUACCCUUAAAAUAUGUGUCACCAUGAGUUAUGAGCUCAAGUGAUGACUAUUAUGACCCAUAGGAAAAUACUGACUUUCUUAUAAUCUAAUUUUGAAGUUGGCUCAACACUUCAUUAAAAAGAGUCAAUUGCACUCCAAUAUCAUAUGAAAUUACAACAAGACAAAAUCCGAGUUUGUGACCUACUAUUCACUGUAUACAAACUCCCCAUGAACUAAUAUUUGUAAUCUAAUAUACUGUGUCAUUUCUAGUUUUUCAUCUAGAAUGAAUAGACAUCUAGAUUUUAAUUGUUGACAAUGUCCCUAUAUCAUUCCCAAUGAGUAGAUCGUCAUAUACAAAUAAGAUCUUAGAGCACCAACAUGCUUAUUUGCGACUUCUUGUACACACAAGGCCCCUUGCUAUGAAAAACAUCUAGUUCUUGUAUCUUAUAAAUGAGAUGCACUGCAAUGGAUAGGAGCACUAUGAUGGAUUUGAAUAUGACUAUUGUUGAAAUUUUUUUCCAUAAUUAAAACAAUGUUUUGCAGUUUGAACUAUAACUUUUAGUUACAAAUUAACCACAUAAAACUCAAACUUUCCAUCCACUCCUAUGUUCCUCUUAUAUACUAACUUACACCUAAGGGUUUUAUCCCUUUAGAUGCUUUUAUAAGAACCCAAACUAUGUUAGAAUAUAAAUAUUCUAAUUAUCCCUUCAUAGCCUCUUGCCAAGAACGAGCACUAGGAUUGCUCAUUUCUUCAUCAUAAUCCACGGGAAAUAAACCUCUCACCAUGAUAAGUCACUUGUGUAUUAAAACUAUCAAGAAUGGUAUAUCUUUAUACUCCUUAAUGCAUAGUAUUUUGUGUAAUGUGAAACUAUCUUCUAGUGUUCUCUAAUGUAUAUCACUCCUUGCAACAUUCCUUAUCAUAUAGUCUUCAUCAGAAAUUUGACAUUUGUAUUAACAUACACCUUGAUCCUAACUAUAAAGGUAACAACUCCAAAAGCCCCUUGAAUAUCUUAUAAACGAAUAUACCUUUUAGGUAAAGAAGGUAUAACACAAUCUUAUGCCCAAAAGAAUUUGGGAAAAUAUGAGAAACUUGUCAUCAAUCUCACUAUGUCUAUUAAAGUUUGAUUUAUUCUUUCUUCCAUUCCAUUUUGUGAUGAAGUCCUUGAUGCACAUAAUUGAGAUAUAAUCUUAUGCUUCAUAAGAAAAAAAAUUAAACUUACUAGGCAUACCAUCUUGAUUUAAUUAAAGUGUCUUGGUAUGUGUACCUAAUUAGUUAUCCAAUUUGACCUUAAAUUCCUAUGCACAAAUCCAAACCUAGAGUAUUCAUCAAUAAAAGCGAUGAAGUAUCCAUACACUCUUUACGCAUAAACAUUAAAAGUUUUAUACACGUCAGUAUGCAUUAACUCUAAAUCUUUCAUGACUUUUUAUCAUUUAAAAUAAAUGGUCUACUAGUCAUUUUACUAUUUAUACAAGAUUUGUAGACUAGAAGAUCCCCUAGAAUCAAAGAGUGCAAACUUAACCAAUCUUUAGAUAUUGUUUAUAUUAACAUCACCUAAGACCAAUCUUUGGAUACUAUUGAGAUUAACAUCACCUAAGUAAUAAAAGCCACAUGUUUGAUUACUACUAGGUUCAUUCGUGAGCUUAGACAAUUCUCAUUACUUAACAAAGUGAUAAUGGAGUUACACAAAAAAAAAAAAAAAAAUUACCUCUCAUUAGCCUGCACAACUAGUCUCGCAAUUGAAGCUAAGGUAAAUACAAUCCAUCAUAUAAACUUCUCAUUUGUUAAAAACCUUAUAAAGACUUAUAAACAGUGGGCCUGAAAUCUAUCCACUAUAAUUUGUGAAAUCCAUCACUACACAAUCAACCAUGAGAAAAUGAUGUAUACUUUCCCUUUCCUUUAGGUAAUCCGAGCAUUUAUUUUUCUAGUGUCCUAAAAGAUCACAAAGAAAUUGUUUGCCACAAAUAUUAUUCAUCGCUAAAAGUUAUUUUUAUCAACAAAUUUUUUUAUUCGUUGGUAAAACUUUUUAGUGACAUAUUUGUUGCAACAAUCUUGCGAAAAAUGUUUUUUGUAGCAAAAACAUAUUUGCCACGAAAAUCCUAACUUUUUGCCACAAAAACAUUUGUUGUGAAACAUCAUAUUUGUUGUAGUAAAAAAGAUUGGUGUAUCAAAUGUGGUAUUAAACGGAUCAAAAGACCAAGUGUUUCAUACUUGGAUAUUUGGAUAAUGUUUUGCAAUGGCAACACAUAUCUAUGACCAAGGACUUUAAUAUUUUCCUUUUAGUUUACAAAGGUUAUUCAAUGAUAAAGACAUAUCAACUUAAACAAGUUGUCUUUAAGAUUGUUAUGUAUGAUCUUAAAGACCUAACAAGUUUCCUCUGAGAUGGUUAAGGAGAUUAUUAAAGAUCAUAAAAGUGUUCAUAUGAGAGUUAAGAGUUCUUCAAGCUCUUCUAUUAAGAAGAAGAAGAACAACACCAAAUAAAAAAAGUUUAGAAGGAAGAAGAAAUCUUGAGAGUAUCUUAUCCAAAAAAUGAACUUUAGCUUCUCAUGUUAAAAAAUCCUCAUAACAUUUACUUUCUUUAUUUCUUACACCUUACACAUUUCCAACUUAAUAAAAAUUAUCCUAGAAUUUAAUUUUCACAAUAAUUUAUUUCAUUAAAAUUACCAAAAACAUAACUUUUUAUUAAUUCCUUAAUAGAGAAAAUAUUCUCUAUAAAAAACUUUCAAAAAUUUCUAUUUCCUUUAAAUAAUAAUAAUAAUAAUAAUAAACAAUCCAUUUUGGAAAGUGUUUUUAAAAUAUUUUAUUCCUCCGUUAAAUUACCAAAACCUCUAAAGCUAUUUGGUAAUCUUUCUUAUAAAAAAUUUAUUUAUUUCUUAAAUUGGAAGGGAGGGGGGGAACCUAAAGGACAUGGUACUAUCCUCAUUUUUUUAGGAAAGACCCUAGAGAACCACCAAAUGUGUCAUUUUCCUUUUCUAAAAUAUGGAGAACUUGGAGAGCCACCUAUUCAAAAAAUGAUAUUUUUAAAAAGAAUAACAAUCUAUCAAGCAACAACCAAUUUAAAUAAAUAACAUUGCAAAAAACUUCUCAUAAAAAUUUACUUUUAGGAAUACUAAAAUACAUUUUUUUAAGGACAUAUAAGCAAUAUAAUAAUAAAUAAAAAAACAUAUAAUAAAAACAAGAAAACAAUUAAACAAUUAAACAAAUACUUCUCAUAGUAUUUAGGGAUCUUGUUGCAUAAUUGGUAAUAAAUUUGGAUAAAAUCCAAAUAACCAAUAUUACCAAAAUACCUACAACCAAAAAUAGGGUUAGAAAAUAAAAAAAUAACCCUAUAAUCUUACCUUUAUUGCCAAACAACAGUCACCAACACUUAAAUGCCUAAAAUUCUAAAGAGGGCGUUGGAUACCGCUUGAAACACUAGAAGGAGUGCUCGAUCGCUUGAGCAGCUUAAGCACUAAUCCAGGCACUCAAGCGCUCAACGCUAUCACUCAAGCGUUAAUUUAAGUACUCAAGCACCAUAUCCCAUAAAUGUGCACCUAAUGCUGCUUCUUCACUCUUUUUGGCCAUCAUUUUAUUAAAAAAACUCACCUUUGCAUAUGAGUUUCUCCACCAAGUUUGAACUCUUGGAUUCAAUCUUCUUUUUCUUAGGUUACAAAGAUAGAUAAAAAUUCAAUUUUUACAAUGAACAAAAAUCAUAUGCUCCAUUAAAACCAAACUUACAAUCCAUCAAUGAACAAAAACAAUUUUUGCAUACAAAUAUAAAAAUCCUAUGCUCCUAAACACAAAGCUUACAAUUCAAUCUAGAUGAAGGAAAAAUAAAUACCAUACUAAUCCAUAUCCAUUCACGAGAACAAAUUAAACACUCAUUCAUACAUCCCUUUAGGCCAUGGGAUGUAAAAAUAAAAAUUAAAAUAAAAAAACAUACAAAACAUAUGUGAGCAAAUCCUAUAAUAGAUCUAACAUGCAAGAUUCUAACUUAGGUAUUUGAUACCAGUUGCUAGGAACCCCGAAUUGCUUUGUUUGCAAGCCUUGAAUCAAGUAAGAUGCAUGCAUCUAUCAUAAGUUUCUCUAAAUCUAACACAACAAAAACAUAUAACAUUAAAAACCAUCACAAAAUAAAUAUAUAGAUAUUAAAAACAAAGUUACAAUCUAUAUGUUCUUAGAUCAAAUCCCAUUUAUUAGAAAAAAUUGGGUUAAUUUAACCUAAGGUAAUCAUCCUAGAGGCGGGUGAAUAGGGUGAUAGUUUUUUUUUUUGAAAAUUUAAUUUAUGUGAAUGUAAAGGACAAUUAUAUGCAAAUAUAUAAUAAAACAAUAUAAAGACAAUUGCAUAUGAAGUAAAAGAGUAUGAAAGAGAAAAUGUAAACACAAGAUUUUUAUAGUGGUUUGGCACAACCUGACUUACAUCCAUUCUCUUCUAGCUUAAAUCUCAAACUUGAGAUUCUACUAAUUCAAGGUUUCCAAAUCAAGCUUUCAAGCAAUACAAUUAGAUUAUGAUUUUAAUCCAUCCUUUUGGACUUUAGGCUCUAAGCACUCUUUACAAUCUUUAAGAGAUACCUCACUCUUGAAUAACUCCUCAAAUGAUACCCUACACUUGAGAAUUCCUAAGUGAUGUCUCACACUUAAACUUUUCUUCUCAAAGAUUUAUAAAUGAAGAUAAUAAAUAAUCUCACAAAAUCCUAAUACAAAACUUUAGGCUCAAAUGAUGCAAGAAAACUGGGAUUGAAUAGUGUACUAAGGAUAUGCGAGUUUUAGAACAAUGGUGCACUAAGAAAACACUCUCCCAAGACUAAAAAAUAUUCAAUAAAUGUUUAGGAAAGUUAAGUUAUUGAAACAAUGAAGAUUAAAGCCUUUAUAUAAACGUAAAAGGCCAAACUAGUUGUUGGCCUUUCGUCCAGUCGAGCUUCAAUUUGAUCAGUUCACUAGUCGUUAGCAUUUAAUGCAUAACAAAUGACCGUUAGACCUUGAUCGUCCCUCAACUAGACCUAGAUCGGUUGAGGUUCAAUCAUUGACCAAUUGAACAAACAUUAUGGCAGGAAUAGAAAGUUUUUGCACCUUUCCCCGUUGAACUAAAUAGGUUAACCCGUUCCUCAUCCGGUUCCACCGGUUGAGCCGUUUUUGGCUCAACAAUCAUCAUUUUCAACUUAAAAACCUUUUAAACAUGAUUGGAAAACAUUUGACACAAGGUUUUAGUUGAAAACAUGAAAUCAUCAAAUUUUAAAAGAUUUAAAACAAAAUAACUAUUGGAUUAUUUUGGUGCAUAAAUAAAAAAAUGUAAUGCAUGAAAAACUUAGUGCACCAACAACUUUACAAAGCAAUCCUAUGAAGCUUAGGUCUUGAAAAAUAUUUCUCUUUGAGGUUUUCUUCUUCUUAUUGAUUUCCUUUUGACUUGAUUUUAACUUUUUGAUUCCCACUUUGGAAAUCUUAUUGACUAAUCACACUUGGAAAUAUAAUCAUUAGUUCCAAACCUUGUUUUGUUAUCAUCAAAACUGAGAUUAACCAAACCUUGGUUUCACACUAUUUGAUGAAGAUGUUGUGAACAUCAUCUACCCUGUGCUCUUUUACUUGACCACUUUCUCAAUAAAUGUUUAACAUGAAAGAAUGGUGGGUUUCUCUUUCUCUCUCUCCUCAAGGGUGGCUAGGAUUCUUUUUUCUGGAAUUUCAAAAAAACUGAACUAGAAAACUAAAACUCUAACCCCUUAGGAAUUUAUAUAGGCUUCUUUGUAAACUUAAGUAACCGAAGCCCAAAUUGGGUUUGAGUGACCGAAUCCAAUCCACUUUGGUCAAAAUUAAUUAAUUAGCCAUAACAAGAUCCAUUUAAUUAAUUAGCUUAUUCUAAAAAGUUAAUUCAUAUGAUCUAUGCAACCUAUAGUUUUUUUUUUAAAUACAAAAAAUGACCUUUUUGCACACUAAUGUAUUUCAUACACAAGAUAUUGUCAAAACAUGUAUCACCAUGAACUAGGAGCUCGAGCGGAGAUUAUUAGGACCAUAUAGGAAAAUACUAACUCCCUUAGAAUCCAAUUCUAAGGUUGACUCAACACUCUAGUAAAGAUAAUCAAUUGCACUCCAAUAUCCUAUGAAAUUAUAAUAAGGCAAAGUUCGGGUCCAUGAUGUACUAUUCAUUGUAUGCAAACUCCUUAUGAAUUAGUGUUCUUAAUCUAAUAGGGUAGUGUUAUCAAUCCAUCAAUAUUACUUUUCUAAUCUUUGAGUUACAAAUCCACCUAUUAUGAGAUCAAUUGAUACACUCUAGCUAAAAGAAUCAUAUGCCAAAUUUCACUAAAUAAAUUAUUGUGACCACAAAUUUCAUGAUUAUAUGGCCUUUGGAUCACCCAAAGGGACACGUUGUCUCAAUUUUAUAAGAUAUCAUCAUGUCUUUAUUAAGAAUACCCGUUGUCAUUAGCCUUUAUCAAUAGUGACCUAAUCGGAAGGGAUAUAUGACUUUAAUAAAGUCUCACUCAUAGGUCAAAACCGUUUUUUUAUUUCAACACAAACUCAACAUCCUCUCAACUUUGAGAAUUCAUGCAACAUAAUAGAUCAGUGAAUUAUAACAAUUUGAUAGCCUUAUAUAAUGAUUCACCAUGGGUUUUGUUUAAUUUGUAAUCCUACACACUAGUACACUCAUAAUGGGAACUCUUGAGAACCUUUUAUUACUCCAUUUCCAAACCUUGGAUCUUGUAGGGUGCAUACAUUUAUCCCUAUGGUUUUCUUGAUCUAAUGCAGUGUAAAAAUGAUGACUUCAAAAACCAUUUUAGAAUAAAGAUCUGGAGAUUUGAAAUUCAUACUUGUGAUCUGGAUGUUCUUAGAUUAAAUCUAAGUCAAUAAAUAAGACACUUGCAACUUGUAGAAGUCUUUUGUCUGAUGACUUUGACCACGACUUUUGCACUCCAAAUGGUGGGCUUUGGAAAAAAAGAAGCUUUGUUUCUCUUUCCCUCUCUCUCACUGGAGGUGGAAGACUAUCUAAAAACCUUAACCAUUCAUGGGUUGUUUAUAGGGUUCCCUUACUAGGCUUAUGGGCUUGAGUCACUUAAUCUAGCCCAAAUUGAGUCCUAGUUGACUAAUUCACCAUAUAAGGUUAUCUAAUCAAUCAAUUAGCUCAAUUCAAAAACCUUGUUCACUAUCCCAUGUCCAAUGUUGCAUGAUUACCAAAAGACCUUUAUGCACAAAAGUGAACCCAUAGCCAAUCCAUACCCUUAUAAAUCGUGUCAUCAUAGUAUAUAAGCUCGUAACGAAGACCACUAGGACCUAUAAGAGUACUGACUCCCUUAGAAUCCAAUUAUGAAGUUGAUUCAACAUCCCACUAUAAAUAAUCUACACUCCAAUAACAUAUAAAAUGACAACGAGACGAAGAUUGGGUCUAUGACCUACUAUCCACUGCAUAUAGACUUAUUAUGAAUUGGUGUUUGUAAUAUAACAAGGUAGUGCUAUCAUUUAUCAAAACUACCUCUCUAAUCCUUGAAUUACAUAUCUUACUUAUUAUGUAUUUAUCUAGCAUACUCUAACUUUAAAAAAUAUAUGUUAAAUUCCACUAAAAGAAUUUCUACAACCAUAGAUUUCAUGAUCACAUGUCCCUUAGAUCACCCAAUGGUACAUAUUGUUUCAAACCCAUGAUAUAUCAUAGUACCUCUAUUAAGAAUAUUUGUCGUCAUCAACCUCCAGCGACAAUAACUCAAUCCAUGGGGAUAUAGACACUAUAGGAUGUCACUUAUAGGUCAACGCCUCUUAUUGAUUUCAACACAUACUCAAUAUCAUCUCGACGUUAAAAGUCCAUCUAGUAUGAUAGUUCAGUAAAUUAUGACAAUUGAUAGUCUCGUGUAAUGAUUUAAGUCUCGUGUAAUGAUUUACCAUAGGUUUUAUCCAAUGUGCAUCACAUACACUAGUGCACUUAUUGUGGAAGAUUCAUUUAAAUGGUCAAGACAAGUCAUACCUUCAACUAGGAAGCAGUGCACUUACAAAGAACUCAUGAAUUAUAUCCUCUGUAUAACUCUUAAUGCACCUAAGUCAUGUACAAUAUAAGAGAUAUGUGUUGAAUGUUCAAAUCAAUGUCAAUGCAUAAAAGGGAUAGUAAGAAGAUAACCAAAUUCGACUUUGUUACAUCAUGUUUUACUUUUAAGGGAUCAAUCAUAACAAGAACCCCAUUCCAACAGUUAGACAAGUCAUCCCCCCAAUUAGAAGGUAGUGUACUAUAGUUCCUACUGAAUUACCUAAAUCUAAGAACUGGCUGUGAACAACUUAUCAUCUUGCAAAUAACCUAUAUGACUUUGUAUACAUUGUGCAAUUAAUGCACCCAAAUCAUGAACAAUGCAAGUGAUAUGAGUUGAAUGAUCAAAUCAAUGUUAAUGCAUAAAAGGAAUAACAAGGGGAAAAAUAAGUUUAACUUGGUUACAUCAUGUCUUGUUUUUAAGGGCCAUAAUCAUCAUGAACAAACCUAAAACAUUAGAGGAAGAUUUGAUGAACCCAUUGAAAGCACCAAGCAACCAACAUUGCCAAUAACAUCUUUCCAUAACAUCUUAAACAAAGAACGAUUAUAAGAAAAAAAUCUCACUAAGAACAAAAUUAAUAGCAAAAGACCUACUACAUGCCAAGCAACUAUGAAGAAAUGUAAAGAACGAGAAAUAUCCAAACUACCAUAUUGAAAAAUCAAUCGUUUAAAAUGACCAUGAGCAACUACGAUAUUAUAAGUUUCUUCAUCUUGAUCGAAUUUGUAACCUUUAUUAGCAAAUUCAUUUUUUGUGGUUUCCUUAAUCAAACUAAAGGUUACCAAGAAACCAUGCAUAACAUUGAAUAAAGACUCAUCAAAUACACCAACUACACCUAACAAGUGAAAUGGAUGCAUAAGGAUGUUGUGCUCAACCUAGAAUACAAUCAUGAAGUUGAAAGUACUAGAGAUUCCUAAAGGCAUGUCAUCAUCGAAGCUUUCAUGAGAUCAAAUUGUAAUUUGAUUACAACAAAAAAAUUAUUAUUGUUACUAUACUAUUAGAAAAGGUUUUAGGUACUAAAAAGUUACCUAGUUAACUUUUCAUCAAAUUUCAUAAAAAGUGUAUUAUAAAAUUUAAAUUAUUGAAUGAAAAUAUAAAACAAAAUGGUUGAGUACAAAGUAAUGAGAAUAAAAUAUAAAAGAUGAUAAAAAAACAUAUAAGAAUAUGAAAAAAGUACUGAAAUUAAGAUCUGUAAAAAGUAAUAAGAAAUUGAACUAUAUACUAAAUAAUGAAAUUAAACUUACAAGGUGUUUAAUAAAACAUAAUACUUAUUAUUUAAUGACUUAAAUUGACUUAAUUAUUGAGUUAAAAUUUAUUACUUAACCAUUACUUGAAAUAUUAAAGUUGUUUGACAAAAUUAACUUCAAAUUUAUUUUAAAUAAUCAAAUUAAUAUAUUUAUCCUUAUAAAUUAUACUUAAGGUAAAAGAGGUCAAGUAAUAAUGGGAGUCGUGGAGUAAAACAGAAGAGAUUGUAGAAGUAAUUAAAACAAAUGAGGAUAAAAAAUGUAAAAUAAAGAUGUAAAAUCCAAAAUAAGUUAAUUUAUUUUAUUAUUACUUAAAUUUGUUUUUGACUUUAAAUCAUAUAUUAAAUUAUUUUGUUAAACAUACUUAAUUAACUUAAUAACUUAAAUUAGGUUAUUAAGUAAGUAAGUUGGUUUAUUAAACAUAUACUUGAUAUAAAGUAAUAAAACCAAAAUACAUGAGAAACAUAGUUGAUCGAUAUCUAGCCACACCUUCCUACUAUUAUUAUUAUUAUUAUUAUUUUUUUUCUAGUUCGUUUUCUUUAAAAAAAUUUAUGCUAUUAGUUAUAAUUAGAAUUUAAUUUUUUUAUUAAAACACACGAAUAGCCAUGUGAUUGUACUUGUUGUGUAGCUUUUGCGCAAAACAAGCCGCAUGCCUUUUCAGCCUAACACGGUCCUUGUCCGCUACAGCAAACCACAUCACGCCACGUCAUAUAAAGUAAUGGCAGUUUCGUCAUUUAAAAUAAACCAACGUGAGAUCAGAGAAACUACAACUUAAACCGGCACCCGGAACCGCGCACACUCGAUUCAAGCCUCCUCUGGCGCCUGCGCCGCAGCCAUGUUUAGCUUCUGCAAACUGCAACUUCAAAAAUAGUCAGAAAUCUAAAAAUAAAAGAAAAAAACAGGAAAAUCGAAUUCUAGGGUUUUCAAAUGUCCAUGGCUUCUCUCCCCCACAUCGAUGAUGUAAGCCCAUCUCCCCCAUCUCUUACCUCUCUCUUUCUUAUAACUAGGGUUUCUCACGAUUUUGCUUUUGCGAAACACAGGAUGAUGAUUUCGGAGGCGAUUUCUCUGGAGGCCACAAUGGCAGGCGUUCAGGUUUUUAUUUUUAUUUUUGGCAACCAAAGACCUAUUUUUUUUGUAGGAUGUGGUUGCUCUUAUGUUUUAAUUUUUGUUUUUGUGUGUUUUGUGUUGGGGGAAUGUUAGGGAAUAAGAGAGGCUUUGGAGAUCUUGAGGAUGACGAAGACGAUAUUUUUAGCAACAAGAAGGUAUCGUUUUGUAUAAUUUAAUUUCUGGUUUUUAUGUUAAAAAGUUGGCGCGUGGAAACGUUAUGUGGGUAGUUUUGGUAAAUUGCGAUCGUCAGCCCUAACAGUUUGUGUGGCUCCUGAGAAAAUUUGGCAAAGGAAAAGAAAUUGAAAUUCUGAAUGAAAAAUUGAAGCAAUGUAAUGUAGUAGGAAUUUGUUUUUGACAAGGCAAAUGAUAAUGUGUAGGCAUUUUUUUUUUGUUUUCUCAAAAGUGGCUUCUUCAUUGAAAGGAACAUAACCUAUUCUGAUGAGGUACCACCGGAAUUGGUAAUGGAAGUUUGUUGUCUUAGAUUCUGACACAAGUGAGGACUCUGUUUCCAGGAUCAACCAGGAGAUAAUAAAUUAAGUGUCACCACUAGUUUCUUUUUUUGGGUGUAUGCAUUUAGUAACUCUGAAAUUGGCCUUUCAGGAAUUUCGGAUCCCAGUAGUUGGGUAGUGCAACUUUGGGAUCUGACGGUGGAGAAGAUUUUUAAGCAUUUGAUAGGAUGGGAAAAAGAGCAUUCUUCAAUUUGUGAAUGCUCAUUCACUCAACCUAAUUACACAUUCCUAUGUUAAUUCUUUCUAUCUGUAGGGCCUUAUGAUAAUGUUCAGUGGGAUAAAAUGAACAAAUAGCUUUGUUGGAGAAGGAAAACUAAGUUGAGGUUGUGUUCCCAUCUGCUCAUUCAUGGGCUAUGAGUUUUAAAUUUUCAGUGGGAUAAAAGGAACAAAUAGCUUUGUUGGAGAAGGAAAACUAAGUGGUGGUUGUGUUCCCAUCUGCUCAUUCACGGGACUAUGAGUUCUAAAUUUAUUUAUUUUUAUUUAUUUUUUAUUUUAGAGGCAAAGAAAGGUAUGUAUAAUAUAAUAACUAAAAAAGUACACCGAAGUACAUAGGAUGUAUAUAAGAGCCACCUAAAAGAAAGGCCUCAAAAGAGAUGCCACAAAAAAACCAUUCUCACUCUUAAGAAGACCCCACCCAAUCUAUUAAAUUAAUGAAAGACGUCAAGCUUGCUCUUAUGUACAUGCUAACCCUAAUUGAAAGAUUGCAAAGGAUCAAAUGUUUUAACUUUUGGUUAGUCUUUUUUUCGUUUUCAAAUACUCUUCAAUUUCAUUCUCACCAAAUUGUCCAAAAUAAUGUGGAGAAGAGCAACUCUCUAUACCUUCUUUCUUUUUCUCCCUACAAAGGGGUUGUGCCAACUUAAUAGAGUUUCUUUCACCGAAGAGAGGAUCACCCAAACUACAUUGUAUGAGGAGAACAACAAAUGCCAUAGAAUCAUUGCGUUGAUAUGGUGAGAUAGAAUAUACUUAAUAGAUUCCCUCUCAAGUUUACAAAGAAAAAACCUAUUCACUAGUGACCACCCUUUGUUUUGGAAUUGAUAUGAGGUCCAAACUUUUCUCCAAUUGGCUUUCCAAGCAAAAAAAGUUCACUUUGGACAGGCUCUCUGGAUUCCAAAUGAUGUCCAUUGGAAAGGGGAUUGACCUCUUGAGUUCCAAGACUGAAUAGAAAGAUUAAAUUCAAAACAUGUCCUUCGUAGAAUCCUCCCAGACGACCCCAUUGUUCUCCUCUCCUAACCAACUUCACUAGCGAUCUAAAAAAAAAAGUCUUACCAAAAUCCAACUCCCAAUCGUUAAAGUGCCUAGAAAAGCAUGGAUUCCAAUGACCCCUCACUCUUGAAUCUUCCUAGAUCUGUGACCCAAGCCUCCUUAGACGAGGCCAUCGCAUACAAGGACGGUAAGGAAAUACACAAGGGCUCCUUGCCACAACAUUUGUCCUUCCAAAACUUAACCCUCUUACCAUUACUUGCUUUAACGAAGGCUCUACUUAAGGAAAGAUCCCACCCCUUACAGCUUUUCAUACUGCAACAUUGAAACCAUCUCACUUUGCUAGAGUGUCAAUCCGCUCCUCCUUUCUGUACUUCCCCUCUAUAAUGCCUAAUACCUGCUUCCUCCUAUCCAAGCAAACAACUGUACAUAUGAGGCUUUUUCUCCAAAGGUUCACCCCCCCAAGGAAAAUGCCUUUGAAUCUUUGCUAACCUCAAUUUGACUUUUCUAGGGAUUAAAAACAAGGACAUCUAAUAGUUUGGUAGGUUGAACAACGUGCUUCUAAUCAACGUUAGCCUCUCCCCCCUUUAGAAAUAGAUUGGUGGGUUUUGAUUUGGAAAACAAAGCUCUUUGGGAAUUUGGAUGUGGAUGUUUCCACGAGAACAAACUUCUAUUUGGCACACUGAUUAAGAGUGUGUGCCAGAUUGGUUGAGGUCUAGAUGCAUGCAUAUAAUUGGUUUGAAUGACCUAUCCUACCCUACUUCCUUUGGAAUUCACUUUCUUCAGAGACCCUGAACUUGUGAUAGUCAACUCUUCUCAUUUUUAAGUUUCUCAAAGAGUAGACUUAUUCAUGCCUUUCCACUAUUCCAGUUGUUAGAGUCUUGAUUUGAGCAUUGCUUUCUCAAAGAAUCUUACUUCUAAUUCUUAUUUGGCUGUCUUUGUGAAUAAUUUUCUUUUUUCCUUCUUUUUUUUGUAAGAAAUGACUUGGAAGUCAAAUUUCUCUUAAGUUUGGACUUUUGUUAUGGUCAAUAUGCUUCCCUUGAGGAAGCCACAAUUUUUUGAUCCCAAAUACGCAUCAUUCAUUUUUUGGAUGGUUUGGAAGGAAAGGAAUAGAUUAGCCUUUAGGGGGGGGGGUCUUAGCAAUUCAGAGGUUCAAAUAUUCUUUUGUUUGUUAUAUCUGGGGUUGGGCUAAAUUGUAUAUGGAAGAGAAGCCGCUCUCCCUUUUAGAUUUCCUGGAGUGGAUUGCCUCCAGUUGAGGGGUGGUUUGUUUUUUGGUUUUUGCUUGUUUUUGGCCUUUGCUGCCUGGUAUACGUCCUGUAUACGUUGGGGUUUUUAGCCUCUUUAAUGAAUUGUGGUUACUUAUCAAAAAAAAAAAAUACGCAUCAUGCAUGAGUUCUUGGUCUAUAUAUCUAUUCAUCUUUUUUAUUUUUUUGUUUCUCCAUCAGUUGUUUGUAUUUGUUGGGGCUGGACCAUUCUCUGAUAUAUCUCCUCUCUGUUAGAUCUUUUCCUGGUUUUUGAGUGAGUAACAAACUGCUCUGGGUGCCUGCAAUUUUCAUUUUCAUGUUUGACAAUAUAUAUAUUUUUUUUCAUUGCCAUGUUUGUUCAUUUUUGUGAGAUGAAUUGUAAAUUUCUCAAGGCAAGUAUGAAUGAAUUGCAUCUGUUUGGGAGGAGAUUUGAUUUAAAAAGUAGUAUUUGCAGCACGUCGGGAGGAGUUGACUAGACUUGAUAUCUAUUUGCUGUUUGACCUUUACAUGGUGUUCUGUUUUUUGUUUUGCUCUAGGAGUCCUCUGCAGUGAAAUUUGAGAAUUGUCUUCAAUGGGCUUUCUUUACUUGCUUAGGCAAUCUUGGUGAAAUUAGGAUUAGUGGGAUUUUCUGAAAACCAUGGUAGCAUUUCAUCAGCUUCAACUUCUCUAAAAUUUGAAUUCUUGUUUGGGUAAGGGCAGCUAGGAAUUGACCUGUUGGGUAACAAUGUGGAAGUUGACUUUUUAAUUAUGUCAGAUGGACAAAUGCAAUUUGCUGAAACUGAAUGUUGUGCAAGAAAAGCCCUCGAGGCUUGGCUCAAGUAGUAAGGAGUUGAGUGGGAUUAUGGCAGGUACCAGGUUCGAGUCCUAGUGGGAGCAAAAAAGGAAAAAAGAAAAAGAAAAAAAAGAAAAAAUUAUUUACCUAUAGAAAAAAGGAAUAUUGUGCUACACAAACUUCAGAAUGACUAAUGCUUUUUGUGUGAAUGGAUUUGUUAAGAGUAAUUUGGGAAGCCAAUUCCUUGGAUGAAUACUUUCGAGGAAUUUAGGGAGCACUUCUAUCAUUCAUAGCAACUAUGCAUCUUGAUUUGGUGUUGAUGCCAUCUGCAGGUCCUUUUUUGGUUUUUGUUGAGUUUUUGGGGCUUCUGCUGUGUUGUCCACUUUUGUUAAUUUGUUGAUGCCUCCUGGUAUCUUCUGUUUCUUCAGACAGAGUACUUCUUGUUCUUUGCUCUGUUAUAUAUUUAAGGAGACUAUUUUAUCUGUGACAAAAAUGAAUAAUUGAUGCAUGAUGUAUAACUGGCUUCAGGUUUUAAUCUUUUUUAUAUUUAGGUCUACUUAUUAGUUUAUGUUUUUUUUUAUGACAUUCAAGUUCUUAUUUGCCAUCUUUAAUCACUCAUAGUUAUUUGCUAGUAUAUAAUCCAUAUGAACCUCAAAUAUGUGUAUAUAUAUUUCUCAUGUGUAUUAAUGAGUUGCAAAAAUUUGUGAAUCUUACGAACAUCAUUUCUCUUGUUUAUAAUGCAGGGAAGCUUCAAACUUGAAGAAACUGCUCCUGGAGUUGCGACAGGAAUGAUUUUGUCUCUCCGUGAGAGGUAUUAUUAGAUGGAGGAGAUUUUUAUUUUUAUCGAUUAAAAUUCUUAGUAUGCUAAUGUUAAUUAAAACUGCAAUUAGAGGUAGUGGACAACCAUAUAAUUGCAAAUAUCUAACUGAAGACUUGGCUUUAAAUAGAGUUGGAUGGAUAAAAAGGAUUCUUGUAGCUGAUCCCAAGUAGUAGGGGUUCAGAGGUUGUUGAGUUGAGUUUGACUGUAAUCAAGUUGGUUCAAUUGAAUCGAAUUUUUCUUCGAUUUCUAAUUUCCCCCUGUUUGAUAAAUUUUUUCCCCCAUUUUGUGAUUUCUCUUUUGCAGUCUUCAAAACUGUAAGGAUACUCUAGCAACAUGCCAAGUAU